This 519-nucleotide ribosomal RNA is filed under the name uncultured bacterium. RNAcentral's name for it is "bacterial SSU rRNA". It matches the Rfam family "Bacterial small subunit ribosomal RNA", at positions 9 to 526 of the family's 1533-position model. The record is from RNAcentral.
GAGUUUGAUCCUGGCUCAGGAUGAACGCUGGCGGCGUGCUUAACACAUGCAAGUCGAACGGGAAAUACUUUAUUGAAACUUCGGUGGAUUUAAUUUAUUUCUAGUGGCGGACGGGUGAGUAACGCGUGGGUAACCUGCCUUAUACUGGGGGAUAACAGCCAGAAAUGGCUGCUAAUACCGCAUAAGCCCACGGCUCGGCAUCGAGCAGAGGGAAAAGGAGUAAUCCGCUUUGAGAUGGCCUCGCGUCCGAUUAGCUAGUUGGUGAGGUAACGGCCCACCAAGGCAACGAUCGGUAGCCGGACUGAGAGGUUGAACGGCCACAUUGGGACUGAGACACGGCCCAGACUCCUACGGGAGGCAGCAGUGGGGAAUCUUGCGCAAUGGGGGGAACCCUGACGCAGCGACGCCGCGUGCGGGACGGAGGCCUUCGGGUCGUAAACCGCUUUCAGCAGGGAAGAGUCAAGACUGUACCUGCAGAAGAAGCCCCGGCUAACUACGUGCCAGCCGCCGCGGUAAUUC